CAGCGCCCCAAGUGGCAACCGCGUUUAUUGGGCCUAAAGCGUUCGUAGCCGGUUAAGUAAAUCUUUUGUGAAAUUGUCAAGCUCAACUUGACACCGUGCAGAAGACACUGCUUAACUAGGAACCGGGAGGAGUCAGAAGUAUUCCGGGGGGAGCGGUAAAAUGUUAUAAUCCUCGGAAGACUACCUGUGGCGAAGGCGUCUGACCAGAACGGAUUCGACGGUGAGGAACGAAAGCUAGGGGAGCAAAACGGAUUAGAUACCCGAGUAGUCC
RNAcentral lists this ribosomal RNA (271 nucleotides) under uncultured archaeon. RNAcentral describes it as "partial 16S ribosomal RNA". It matches the Rfam family "Archaeal small subunit ribosomal RNA", at positions 477 to 747 of the family's 1478-position model. The record is from RNAcentral.